Molecule: ribosomal RNA, 255 nt
Filed under: uncultured bacterium
Lineage: Bacteria
Description: partial 16S ribosomal RNA
Rfam family: Bacterial small subunit ribosomal RNA
Source: RNAcentral
UACGUAGGGUGCAAGCGUUGUCCGGAAUUAUUGGGCGUAAAGAGCUCGUAGGCGGUUUGUUGCGUCGGCUGUGAAAUCCCGAGGCUCAACCUCGGGUCUGCAGUCGAUACGAGCAAACUAGAGUGUUGCAGGGGAGACUGGAAUUCCUGGUGUAGCGGUGAAAUGCGCAGAUAUCAGGAGGAACACCGGUGGCGAAGGUGGGUCUCUGGGCAACAACUGACGCUGGAGGAGCGAAAGCCGUGGGGAGCGAACAGG